CCGAAAUUAUGCUAAGUGUUAAAUGAAGUGUGGAUGCACAGACAGCCGGAGGUUGGCUUAGAAGCAGCCAUUUCCUUAAAAGAGUGCGUAACAGCUCAAUGGUCGAGCAUUCAUGCGCAAACAAUGUAACGGGGCUAAGCAUAAUACCGAAGCCAUGGACUCAUAUCUUAGGGAUAUGAUUGGUAGGGGAGCAUUCCAUUAACUGAAGAAGGAAUACCCGCGAGGGGUUCUGGAGGAGAUGGAAUGAGAGAACGCAGGUAUAAGUAACGAAAAGACGGGUGGGAUUCCCGUCCGGCCGAAAACAUAAGGGUUCCAGGGUAAAGGCAAUCUGCCCUGGGUAAGUCGGCCCCUAAGGCCAGGUCGAAAGACGUAGCCGAUGGGAAAUCGGUUUAUAAUCCGAUACCUUCCACAGUUUCGAGGACAGGACGCAUGAGGUGAAAUCCGGCCGGAGAACGGUUGUUCCGGUCAAAGCGCCGAGCCGAUGAGGACCGCAGGCAAAUCCGCGGUCCGAGGUGAGGCGUUACAGCGAGCGGAGAGAAAGUCGAAGCGAAGCGGAUGUAGUCAGGGUGCCGGGAAAUACUGUCUAAGGCUAGGCUGUGGGAGACCGUACCGUAAACGGACACACGUAUGUGGGAUGAGAAAUCUAAGGCGCACGAGCGACCUCGCGUUAAGGAACUUCGGCAAAAUGCACACGUAACUUCGGAAGAAGUGUGGCUCUGAUUGUAUAAGAUUAAGAGCGGCAGAAAGCAGGCUCAGGCGACUUUUUCAAAAACACAGC
RNAcentral lists this ribosomal RNA (778 nucleotides) under uncultured Treponema sp. Its description in RNAcentral is "partial 23S ribosomal RNA". It matches the Rfam family "Bacterial large subunit ribosomal RNA", at positions 1047 to 1819 of the family's 2925-position model. Lineage: Bacteria; Pseudomonadati; Spirochaetota; Spirochaetia; Treponematales; Treponemataceae. The record is from RNAcentral.